UUGAAGGAUUUUAAGACUUCAACUUGCAGACUUAAAGAAUUUGAAGACUUCCGCUUGCAGAAAAGAAUUAGAAGACUUCAAGU
RNAcentral lists this microRNA precursor (83 nucleotides) under Solanum lycopersicum (tomato). Its description in RNAcentral is "MIR8024 microRNA precursor family". It matches the Rfam family "MIR8024 microRNA precursor family". Lineage: Eukaryota; Viridiplantae; Streptophyta; Magnoliopsida; Solanales; Solanaceae. The record is from Rfam by way of RNAcentral.